GCUGCCGCCAGUCCAUUCAAAUUUCUGCCCUAUCAACUGUCGAUGGAAGGAUAGAGGCCUUCCAUGGUUACAACGGGUACGGAGAAUCAGGGUUCGGUUCCGGAGAUGGCGCCUGAGAAACGGCGGCAACAUCCAAGGAAGGCAGCAGGCGCGUAACUUACCCAAUCCUAACACAGGGAGGUAGUGACAAGAAAUAACAAUACAGGGCUUUUUCAAGUCUUGUAAUUGGAAUGAGAACAAUUUAAAAUCCUUAUCGAGGAUCAACUGGAGGGCAAGUCUGGUGCCAGCAGCCGCGGUAAUUCCAGCUCCAGUAGCGUAUUCUUAAGUUGUUGCUGUUAAAACGCUCCUAGUCGGAUUUGAGAAUGCCAUGGGAGGUCUGCCAAUUUGGUGUGUGCCUUUCGUGGUGUUCUUCUGUCUGAAGAAAAUUUCUGUGCUUAAUUGCAUGGGGAUGGGACUCAGGCCUUUUACUUUGAGAAAAUUAGAGUGUUCCACGCAGGUUUUGCACAUGAAUAGAUUAGCAUUGAAUAAUGAAAUAGGACUUUGGUUCUAUUUUGUUGGUUUCUAGGACCGAAGUAAUGAUUAAUAGGAACAGUCGAGGGCACUAAUAUUGCGAUUUUAGAGGUGAAAUUCUUGGAUCAUCGCAAGAUUAACCGCGGCGAAAGCAUUUGCCAAGGAUGUUUUCAUUGAUCAAGAACGAAAGUUAGGGGAUCGAAGACGAUUAGAUACCGUCGUAGUCCUAACCUUAAACGAUGCCGACUUGGGGUUGGAAGUCGUUCUAUUUGACACUUUCAGCUCCAUACGAGAAAUCAAAGUCUUUGGGCUCAGGGGGGAGUAUGGUCGCAAGGCUGAAACUUAAAGGAAUUGACGGAGGGGCACAACCAGGCGUGGAGCUUGCGGCUUAAUUUGACACAACACGGGGAAACUUUCCGAGACAGGACAUCAGCAUGAUUGACAGAUUAAUAGCUCUUUCUUGAUUUGAUGGUUGGUGGUGCAUGGCCGUUCUUAGAUCGUGAUGCGAAUUGUCUGCUUAACUGCGAUAACGAUCGAGACCUCCGCCUGCUAAAUAGCUACGUGAACUCUUUGGUUCACGGCCAAGCUUCUUAGAGGGACAAUGUGGACAACCACAUGGAAGUUGGAGGCAAUAACAGGUCCGUUAUGCCCUUAGAUGCCUCGGUAUGCACGCGUGCUACAAUGUUAUGUUCAACAAGUCUCCUUCACCGACCGGUGCAGGCAAUCUUUGAAAACAUAACGUGCUUGGGAUAGACCAUUGUAAUUAUUGGUCUUGAACGAGGAAUGCCUAGUAGAUGCGGUUCAUCAGACCGCGUCGAUUACGUCCCUGCCCCUUGUACACACCGCCCGUCGCUCCUACCGAUCGAAAGACCCGGUGAAUUGUGCAGAUCGUGAAGCUUGCUUGGUCAAACAGGCUUGCUUUGUGAGACGCUCUGUGAACCUUGCCUUUUAGAGGAAGGAGAAGUCGUAACAAGGUU
This 1487-nucleotide ribosomal RNA is filed under the name metagenome. Its description in RNAcentral is "SSU rRNA". It matches the Rfam family "Eukaryotic small subunit ribosomal RNA", at positions 283 to 1801 of the family's 1831-position model. The record is from RNAcentral.